CCUACGGGAGGCAGCAGUAGGGAAUCUUCCACAAUGGGCGCAAGCCUGAAGGAGCAACGCCGCGUGGGUGAAGAAGGUCUUCGGAUUGUAAAACCCUGUUGUUAGAGAAGAAAGUGCGGGAGAGUAACUGUUCACGUUUCGACGGUAUCUAACCAGAAAGCCACGGCUAACUACGUGCCAGCAGCCGCGGUAAUACGGAGGUGGCAAGCGUUAGCCGGAUUUAUUGGGCGUAAAGGGAACGCAGGCGGUCUUUUAAGUCUGAUGUGAAAGCCUUCGGCUUAACCGGAGUAGUGCAUUGGAAACUGGGAGACUUGAGUGCAGAAGAGGAAGGUGGAACUCCAGGUGUAGCGGUGAAAUGCUUAGAUAUAUGGAAGAACACCGAUGGCGAAGGCGGCUCUCUGGUCUGUAACUGACGCUGAGGUUCGAAAGCGUGGGUAGCAAACAGGAUUAGAUACCCUAGUAGUC
Molecule: ribosomal RNA, 465 nt
Filed under: uncultured bacterium
Lineage: Bacteria
Description: partial 16S ribosomal RNA
Rfam family: Bacterial small subunit ribosomal RNA
Source: RNAcentral